This 472-nucleotide ribosomal RNA is filed under the name uncultured bacterium. RNAcentral describes it as "partial 16S ribosomal RNA". It matches the Rfam family "Bacterial small subunit ribosomal RNA", at positions 28 to 507 of the family's 1533-position model. The record is from RNAcentral.
GACGAACGCUGGCGGCGUGCUUAACACAUGCAAGUCGAACGCUGAAGCUUGGUGCUUGCACUGGGUGGAUGAGUGGCGAACGGGUGAGUAAUACGUGAGUAACCUGCCCUUGACUCUGGGAUAAGCCUGGGAAACUGGGUCUAAUACUGGAUACGACAUGUCACCGCAUGGUGGUGUGUGGAAAGGGUUUUGCUGGUUUUGGAUGGGCUCACGGCCUAUCAGCUUGUUGGUGGGGUAAUGGCUCACCAAGGCGACGACGGGUAGCCGGCCUGAGAGGGUGACCGGCCACAAUGGGACUGAGACACGGCCCAGACUCCUACGGGAGGCAGCAGUGGGGAAUAUUGCACAAUGGGCGGAAGCCUGAUGCAGCGACGCCGCGUGAGGGAUGACGGCCUUCGGGUUGUAAACCUCUUUCAGCACGGAAGAAGCGAAAGUGGCGGUACGUGCAGAAGAAGCGCCGGCUAACUACGUG